CGCGGCCUAUCAGCUUGUUGGUGAGGUAACGGCUCACCAAGGCAUCGACGGGUAGCUGGUCUGAGAGGACGAUCAGCCACACUGGGACUGAGACACGGCCCAGACUCCUACGGGAGGCAGCAGUAGGGAAUCUUGCGCAAUGGGCGAAAGCCUGACGCAGCAACGCCGCGUGGGGGAUGAAUGCCUUCGGGUUGUAAACCCCUUUCAGCAGGGACGAAAAUGACGGUACCUGCAGAAGAAGCUCCGGCCAACUACGUGCCAGCAGCCGCGGUAAUACGUAGGGAGCGAGCGUUGUCCGGAAUUAUUGGGCGUAAAGAGCUCGUAGGCGGUUCAGUAAGUCGGGUGUGAAAACUCAAGGCUCAACCUUGAGACGCCACUCGAUACUGCUGUGACUUGAGUCCGGUAGAGGAGUGUGGAAUUCCUGGUGUAGCGGUGAAAUGCGCAGAUAUCAGGAGGAACACCAGCGGCGAAGGCGGCACUCUGGGCCGGUACUGACGCUGAGGAGCGAAAGCAUGGGGAGCAAACAGGAUUAGAUACCCUGGUAGUCCAUGCCGUAAACGUUGGGCACUAAGUGUGGGUCCCAUCCAACGGGAUCCGCGCCGCAGCUAACGCAUUAAGUGCCCCGCCUGGGGAGUACGG
RNAcentral lists this ribosomal RNA (639 nucleotides) under uncultured Actinomycetes bacterium. Its description in RNAcentral is "bacterial SSU rRNA". It matches the Rfam family "Bacterial small subunit ribosomal RNA", at positions 232 to 885 of the family's 1533-position model. The record is from RNAcentral. Lineage: Bacteria; Bacillati; Actinomycetota; Actinomycetes.